Molecule: ribosomal RNA, 391 nt
Filed under: uncultured eukaryote
Lineage: Eukaryota
Description: bacterial SSU rRNA
Rfam family: Eukaryotic small subunit ribosomal RNA
Source: RNAcentral
CGAAUGGCUCAUUUAAAUCAUUGUAGUCUCUCGCUAAUCACUUUCUACAUGGAUACCCGUGGAACUAGGCUAAUACAUGCACUAAGCCCCGACUUUAAAAAGGGGUGUGUUUAUUAGAUCUGAAGCCAACCCGCUUCGGCGGACCUUGGUGAGUCAUAAUAACCUUCGAAUCGCAUGUCCUAGCGACGGCGAUGCAGCGUAUGAGCUUCUGACCUAUCAAGCUGAUGGUAGGGUAUUGGCCUACCAUACGUUAUGACGGGUAACGGAGGAUUAGGGUUCGAUUCCGGAGAGGGAGCCUUAGAAACGGCUACCACAUCCAAGGAAGGCAGCAGGCGCGCAAAUUACCCAAUCUCGAUACGHGGAGGUAGUGACAAGAAAUAACAGAUGCAGG